UUGCUUCAGCGGCACAUAUAGAAAAAUUGAAAUGAUACAAAGAAGAUUAGCAUGGCCCCUGUGCAAGGAUGAGAUGCAAAUUUGUGAAGUGCUCUAUUAAAAA
Rhinolophus ferrumequinum (greater horseshoe bat) is the source of this 103-nucleotide small nuclear RNA. Lineage: Eukaryota; Metazoa; Chordata; Mammalia; Chiroptera; Rhinolophidae. The record is from Ensembl.